UACGAAGGGGGCUAGCGUUGCUCGGAAUCACUGGGCGUAAAGGGCACGUAGGCGGCGUUUUAAGUCGGGGGUGAAAGCCUGUGGCUCAACCACAGAAUGGCCUUCGAUACUGGGACGCUUGAGUCUGGUAGAGGUUGGUGGAACUGCGAGUGUAGAGGUGAAAUUCGUAGAUAUUCGCAAGAACACCGGUGGCGAAGGCGGCCAACUGGACCAGCACUGACGCUGAGGCACGAAAGCGUGGGGGAGCAAACAGG
RNAcentral lists this ribosomal RNA (254 nucleotides) under uncultured bacterium. Its description in RNAcentral is "partial 16S ribosomal RNA". It matches the Rfam family "Bacterial small subunit ribosomal RNA", at positions 524 to 776 of the family's 1533-position model. The record is from RNAcentral.